UACGUAGGGUGCGAGCGUUAAUCGGAAUUACUGGGCGUAAAGCGUGCGCAGGCGGUUUUGCAAGACAGAUGUGAAAUCCCCGGGCUUAACCUGGGAACUGCGUUUGUGACUGCCAGACUAGAGUGUAGCAGAGGGGGGUAGAAUUCCACGUGUAGCAGUGAAAUGCGUAGAGAUGUGGAGGAAUACCGAUGGCGAAGGCAGCCCCCUGGGCUAACACUGACGCUCAUGCACGAAAGCGUGGGGAGCAAACAGG
Molecule: ribosomal RNA, 253 nt
Filed under: uncultured bacterium
Lineage: Bacteria
Description: partial 16S ribosomal RNA
Rfam family: Bacterial small subunit ribosomal RNA
Source: RNAcentral